RNAcentral lists this ribosomal RNA (438 nucleotides) under uncultured bacterium. RNAcentral's name for it is "bacterial SSU rRNA". It matches the Rfam family "Bacterial small subunit ribosomal RNA", at positions 959 to 1392 of the family's 1533-position model. The record is from RNAcentral.
ACGCGAAGAACCUUACCUGGGCUCGAACGGCUUUGGAAACUCCUUGGAAACAGGGAUUUCCCGCAAGGGACCGGAGUCGAGGUGCUGCAUGGCUGUCGUCAGCUCGUGUCGUGAGAUGUUGGGUUAAGUCCCGCAACGAGCGCAACCCUUGUCCUGUGUUGCCACUCCCCUUAAAAGGAAGCACUCGCAGGAGACCGCCAGCGAUAAGCUGGAGGAAGGUGGGGAUGAUGUCAAGUCAUCAUGGCCUUUAUGUCCAGGGCUACACACGUGCUACAAUGGACGGUACAAAGCGCUGCAAACCCGCGAGGGGGAGCUAAUCGCAAAAAGCCGUUCUCAGUUCGGAUCGCAGGCUGCAACUCGCCUGCGUGAAGCUGGAAUCGCUAGUAAUGGCGUAUCAGAACGAUGCCGUGAAUACGUUCCCGGGUCUUGUACACACCG